This 253-nucleotide ribosomal RNA is filed under the name uncultured bacterium. Its description in RNAcentral is "partial 16S ribosomal RNA". It matches the Rfam family "Bacterial small subunit ribosomal RNA", at positions 524 to 776 of the family's 1533-position model. The record is from RNAcentral.
GACGUAGGGCGCGAGCGUUGUCCGGAUUUAUUGGGCGUAAAGAGCUCGUAGGCGGCUUGUCGCGUCGACUGUGAAAACCCGCGGCUCAACUGUGGGCUUGCAGUCGAUACGGGCAGACUAGAGUUCGGUAGGGGAGUCUGGAAUUCCUGGUGUAGCGGUGAAAUGCGCAGAUAUCAGGAGGAACACCGGUGGCGAAGGCGGGACUCUGGGCCGAUACUGACGCUGAGGAGCGAAAGCGUGGGGAGCGAACAGG